RNAcentral lists this ribosomal RNA (428 nucleotides) under uncultured bacterium. RNAcentral's name for it is "bacterial SSU rRNA". It matches the Rfam family "Bacterial small subunit ribosomal RNA", at positions 28 to 443 of the family's 1533-position model. The record is from RNAcentral.
AAUGAACGCUGGCGGCGUGCUUAACACAUGCAAGUUGAGCGGUAAGGCCCCUUCGGGGGUACACGAGCAGCGAACGGGUGAGUAACGCGUGGGUAAUCUACCUAGAGGUGGGGGAUAGCCUCGGGAAACCGGGGGUAAUACCGCAUGAGUUCUUUCCAACACAAGUUGGAUUGGGGAAAGGCGGGGAUCUUCGGACCUGUCGCCUCUAGAUGAGCCCGCGUCCGAUUAGCUAGUUGGUAGGGUAAUGGCCUACCAAGGCACCGAUCGGUAGCCGGCCUGAGAGGGUGAACGGCCACAUUGGGACUGAGACACGGCCCAGACUCCUACGGGAGGCAGCAGUGGGGAAUUUUGGGCAAUGGGGGAAACCCUGACCCAGCGACGCCGCGUGGAGGAUGAAGGCCUUCGGGUUGUAAACUCCUGUCAGGUGG